RNAcentral lists this ribosomal RNA (440 nucleotides) under uncultured bacterium. RNAcentral describes it as "partial 16S ribosomal RNA". It matches the Rfam family "Bacterial small subunit ribosomal RNA", at positions 338 to 795 of the family's 1533-position model. The record is from RNAcentral.
CCUACGGGUGGCAGCAGUGGGGACUAUUGCACAAUGGGGGGAACCCUGAUGCAGUGACGCCGCGUGAGUGAAGAAGUAUUUCGGUAUGUAAAGCUCUAUCAGCAGGGAAGAAGAUGACGGUACCUGACUAAGAAGCCCCGGCUAACUACGUGCCAGCAGCCGCGGUAAUACGUAGGGGGCAAGCGUUAUCCGGAUUUACUGGGUGUAACGGGAGCGUAGACGGGAUGGCAAGUCUGGAGUGAAAGCCCGGGGCCCAACCCCGGGACUGCUUUGGAAACGGCAAUGCUAGAGUGCUGGAGAGGUAAGCGGAAUUCCUAGUGGAGCGGUGAAAUGCGGAGAUAUUAGGAGGAACACCAGGGGCGAAGGCGGCUUACUGGACAGUAACUGACGUUGAGGCUCGAAAGCGUGGGGAGCAAACAGGAUGAGAUACCCGGGUAGUC